RNAcentral lists this ribosomal RNA (478 nucleotides) under uncultured bacterium. RNAcentral describes it as "partial 16S ribosomal RNA". It matches the Rfam family "Bacterial small subunit ribosomal RNA", at positions 28 to 507 of the family's 1533-position model. The record is from RNAcentral.
GACGAACGCUGGCGGCGUGCUUAACACAUGCAAGUCGAACGGGAUUUAGUAAACGGAAGCCUCGGUGGAAGAUUACUAAUGAGAGUGGCGAACGGGUGAGUAACGCGUGAGCAACCUGCCUAUGACAGUGGGAUAGCCUCGGGAAACCGGGAUUAAUACCGCAUAAAAUCGUAGAAACACAUGUUUCAACGGUCAAAGAUUUAUCGGUCAUAGAUGGGCUCGCGUCUGAUUAGCUAGUUGGUGAGAUAACAGCCCACCAAGGCGACGAUCAGUAGCCGGUCUGAGAGGAUGAACGGCCACAUUGGAACUGAGACACGGUCCAAACUCCUACGGGAGGCAGCAGUGGGGAAUAUUGCACAAUGGGGGAAACCCUGAUGCAGCGACGCCGCGUGAACGAAGAAGGUAUUCGUAUCAUAAAGUUCUGUCCUAUGGGAAGAUAAUGACAGUACCAUAGAAGAAAGCUCCGGCUAAAUACGUG